GACGAACGCUGGCGGCGUGCUUAACACAUGCAAGUCGAACGGAAAGGCCCUGCUUUUGUGGGGUGCUCGAGUGGCGAACGGGUGAGUAACACGUGAGUAACCUGCCCUUGACUUUGGGAUAACUUCAGGAAACUGGGGCUAAUACCGGAUAGGAGCUCUUGCUGCACGGUGGGGGUUGGAAAGAUUCGGCGGUUGGGGAUGGACUCGCGGCUUAUCAGCUUGUUGGUGGGGUAGUGGCUUACCAAGGCUUCGACGGGUAGCCGGCCUGAGAGGGUGACCGGCCACAUUGGGACUGAGAUACGGCCCAGACUCCUACGGGAGGCAGCAGUGGGGAAUAUUGCGCAAUGGGCGGAAGCCUGAUGCAGCAGCGCCGCGUGCGGGAUGCCGGCCUUCGGGUUGUAAACCGCUUUCGCAGGUGACGAAGCGUGAGUGACGGUAAUGGGUAAAGAAGCACCGGCUAACUACGUG
RNAcentral lists this ribosomal RNA (468 nucleotides) under uncultured bacterium. Its description in RNAcentral is "partial 16S ribosomal RNA". It matches the Rfam family "Bacterial small subunit ribosomal RNA", at positions 28 to 507 of the family's 1533-position model. The record is from RNAcentral.